RNAcentral lists this ribosomal RNA (469 nucleotides) under Streptococcus intermedius. Its description in RNAcentral is "bacterial SSU rRNA". It matches the Rfam family "Bacterial small subunit ribosomal RNA", at positions 28 to 471 of the family's 1533-position model. Lineage: Bacteria; Bacillati; Bacillota; Bacilli; Lactobacillales; Streptococcaceae. The record is from RNAcentral.
GACGAACGCUGGCGGCGUGCCUAAUACAUGCAAGUAGAACGCACAGGAUGCACCGUAGUUUACUACACCGUAUUCUGUGAGUUGCGAACGGGUGAGUAACGCGUAGGUAACCUGCCUGGUAGCGGGGGAUAACUAUUGGAAACGAUAGCUAAUACCGCAUAAGAACAUUUACUGCAUGGUAGAUGUUUAAAAGGUGCAAAUGCAUCACUACCAGAUGGACCUGCGUUGUAUUAGCUAGUAGGUGAGGUAACGGCUCACCUAGGCGACGAUACAUAGCCGACCUGAGAGGGUGAUCGGCCACACUGGGACUGAGACACGGCCCAGACUCCUACGGGAGGCAGCAGUAGGGAAUCUUCGGCAAUGGGGGGAACCCUGACCGAGCAACGCCGCGUGAGUGAAGAAGGUUUUCGGAUCGUAAAGCUCUGUUGUUAAGGAAGAACGAGUGUGAGAAUGGAAAGUUCAUACUGUG